AGCAGUCGCCACGGUAAUACGAAGGGUGCAAGCGUUAAUCGGAAUUACUGGGCGUAAAGCGUGCGCAGGCGGUUUGUUAAGACAGAUGUGAAAUCCCCGGGCUCAACCUGGGAACUGCAUUUGUGACUGGCAAGCUAGAGUGUGCAGAGGGGGGUGGAAUUCCGCGUGUAGCAGUGAAAUGCGUAGAUAUGCGGAGGAACACCGAUGGCGAAGGCAGCCCCCUGGGCCAACACUGACGCUCAUGCACGAAAGCGUGGGGAGCAAACAGGAUUAGAUACCCCCGUAGUCCCUGUCUCUUAUACA
RNAcentral lists this ribosomal RNA (303 nucleotides) under uncultured bacterium. Its description in RNAcentral is "partial 16S ribosomal RNA". It matches the Rfam family "Bacterial small subunit ribosomal RNA", at positions 507 to 808 of the family's 1533-position model. The record is from RNAcentral.